UAGGGAAUCUUCGGCAAUGGACGAAAGUCUGACCGAGCAACGCCGCGUGAGUGAAGAAGGUUUUCGGAUCGUAAAACUCUGUUGUUAGAGAAGAACAAGGACGUUAGUAACUGAACGUCCCCUGACGGUAUCUAACCAGAAAGCCACGGCUAACUACGUGCCAGCAGCCGCGGUAAUACGUAGGUGGCAAGCGUUGUCCGGAUUUAUUGGGCGUAAAGCGAGCGCAGGCGGUUUCUUAAGUCUGAUGUGAAAGCCCCCGGCUCAACCGGGGAGGGUCAUGGGAAACUGGGAGUCUGGGGUGCAGAAGAGGAGAGUGGAAUUCCAUGUGUAGCGGUGAAAUGCGUAGUUAUAUGGAGGAACACCAGUGGCGAAGGCGGCUCUCUGGUCUGUAACUGACGCUGAGGCUCGAAAGCGUGGGGAGCAAACAGG
This 429-nucleotide ribosomal RNA is filed under the name Gemmatimonadota bacterium. Its description in RNAcentral is "Gemmatimonadetes bacterium partial 16S ribosomal RNA". It matches the Rfam family "Bacterial small subunit ribosomal RNA", at positions 355 to 776 of the family's 1533-position model. Lineage: Bacteria; Pseudomonadati; Gemmatimonadota. The record is from RNAcentral.